This 86-nucleotide transfer RNA is filed under the name Thermoclostridium stercorarium subsp. stercorarium DSM 8532. RNAcentral's name for it is "[Clostridium] stercorarium subsp. stercorarium DSM 8532 tRNA". It matches the Rfam family "tRNA". From Rfam's summary of the family: Transfer RNA (tRNA) molecules are approximately 80 nucleotides in length. The record is from Rfam by way of RNAcentral. Lineage: Bacteria; Bacillati; Bacillota; Clostridia; Eubacteriales; Oscillospiraceae.
GGAAGAGUAUCGAAGUGGUCAUAACGAGCCUGACUCGAAAUCAGGUGUACGGCAACGUACCGUGGGUUCGAAUCCCACCUCUUCCG